GAUGAAGAACGUAGCGAAAUGCGAUACGUAAUGUGAAUUGCAGAAUUCAGUGAAUCAUCGAAUCUUUGAACGCAUAUUGCGCUCUCUGGUAUUCAGGAGAGCAUGCUUGUUUGAGUAUCAGUAAACACCUCAACUCCCUUUUCUUUUUUGAAAUUGGAGCUGGACUUGAGUGAUCCCAACGCUUUCUUCCAAGAAAGUGGCGGGUUGCUUGAAAUGCAGGUGCAGCUGAACUUUUCUCUGAGCUAUAAGCAUAUCUAUUUAGUCUGCCUAAAAAACAGAUUAUUACCUUUGCUGCAGCUAACAUAAAGGAGACUAGUUCUUGUGCUGACUGAUGCAGGAUUCACAGAGACAGCUUCGGCUGACUUUGUAAACUCGAUCUCAAAUCAAGUAAGACUACCCGCUGAACUUAAGCAUAUCAAUAAGCGGAGGA
This 430-nucleotide unclassified non-coding RNA is filed under the name soil metagenome. RNAcentral describes it as "partial contains 5.8S ribosomal RNA, internal transcribed spacer 2, and large subunit ribosomal RNA". The stretch from base 1 to 120 matches the Rfam family "5.8S ribosomal RNA", at positions 35 to 154 of the family's 154-position model. The record is from RNAcentral.